GGGGUUGUGGCUCAGUGGUAGAGUGCUUGCCUAGCAUGUGUGAGGCACUGGGUUUGAUUCUCAGCCCCA
RNAcentral lists this transfer RNA (69 nucleotides) under Marmota monax (woodchuck). It matches the Rfam family "tRNA". From Rfam's summary of the family: Transfer RNA (tRNA) molecules are approximately 80 nucleotides in length. Their secondary structure includes four short double-helical elements and three loops (D, anti-codon, and T loops). RNAcentral also lists the same sequence under 2 other names. Lineage: Eukaryota; Metazoa; Chordata; Mammalia; Rodentia; Sciuridae. The record is from Rfam by way of RNAcentral.